RNAcentral lists this ribosomal RNA (492 nucleotides) under uncultured bacterium. RNAcentral describes it as "partial 16S ribosomal RNA". It matches the Rfam family "Bacterial small subunit ribosomal RNA", at positions 29 to 507 of the family's 1533-position model. The record is from RNAcentral.
AGUGAACGCUGGCGGUAGGCCUAACACAUGCAAGUCGAACGGCAGCACAGUAAGAGCUUGCUCUUACGGGUGGCGAGUGGCGGACGGGUGAGGAAUACAUCGGAAUCUACUUUUUCGUGGGGGAUAACGUAGGGAAACUUGCGCUAAUACCGCAUACGACCUACGGGUGAAAGCAGGGGAUCUUCGGACCUUGCGCGAUUGAAUGAGCCGAUGUCGGAUUAGCUAGUUGGCGGGGUAAAGGCCCACCAAGGCGACGAUCCGUAGCUGGUCUGAGAGGAUGAUCAGCCACACUGGAACUGAGACACGGUCCAGACUCCUACGGGAGGCAGCAGUGGGGAAUAUUGGACAAUGGGCGCAAGCCUGAUCCAGCCAUACCGCGCGGGUGAAGAAGGCCUUCGGGUUGUAAAGCCCUUUUGUUGGGAAAGAAAAGCAGCAGGUUAAUACCCCGCUGUUCUGACGGUACCCAAAGAAUAAGCACCGGCUAACUUCGUG